RNAcentral lists this transfer RNA (72 nucleotides) under Bacteroidaceae bacterium. RNAcentral describes it as "tRNA-Arg". It matches the Rfam family "tRNA". From Rfam's summary of the family: Transfer RNA (tRNA) molecules are approximately 80 nucleotides in length. Their secondary structure includes four short double-helical elements and three loops (D, anti-codon, and T loops). Lineage: Bacteria; Pseudomonadati; Bacteroidota; Bacteroidia; Bacteroidales; Bacteroidaceae. The record is from RNAcentral.
GCUCUCGUAGUUCAAUGGAUAGAAUGUGGCUCUCCUAAAGCUAAGAUACGAGUUCGAUUCUCGUCGGGAGUA